RNAcentral lists this ribosomal RNA (545 nucleotides) under uncultured bacterium. RNAcentral's name for it is "bacterial SSU rRNA". It matches the Rfam family "Bacterial small subunit ribosomal RNA", at positions 369 to 905 of the family's 1533-position model. The record is from RNAcentral.
UCCUGGACGAAGUCUGACGGAGCAACGCCGCGUGAGUGAUGAAGGUUUUCGGAUCGUAAAACUCUGUUGUUAGGGAAGAACAAGUACCGUUCGAAUAGGGCGGCACCUUGACGGUACCUAACCAGAAAGCCACGGCUAACUACGUGCCAGCAGCCGCGGUAAUACGUAGGUGGCAAGCGUUGUCCGGAAUUAUUGGGCGUAAAGCGCGCGCAGGCGGUUUCUUAAGUCUGAUGUGAAAGCCCCCGGCUCAACCGGGGAGGGUCAUUGGAAACUGGGGAACUUGAGUGCAGAAGAGGAGAGUGGAAUUCCACGUGUAGCGGUGAAAUGCGUAGAGAUGUGGAGGAACACCAGUGGCGAAGGCGACUCUCUGGUCUGUAACUGACGCUGAGGCGCGAAAGCGUGGGGAGCGAACAGGAUUAGAUACCCUGGUAGUCCACGCCGUAAACGAUGAGUGCUAAGUGUUAGAGGGUUUCCGCCCUUUAGUGCUGCAGCAAACGCAUUAAGCACUCCGCCUGGGGAGUACGGUCGCAAGACUGAAACUCAGG